Molecule: ribosomal RNA, 428 nt
Filed under: uncultured bacterium
Lineage: Bacteria
Description: partial 16S ribosomal RNA
Rfam family: Bacterial small subunit ribosomal RNA
Source: RNAcentral
GUAGGGAAUAUUGCGCAAUGGACGAAAGUCUGACGCAGCGACGCCGCGUGAGUGAUGAAGGCCUUAGGGUCGUAAAGCUCUGUUGAAUGGGAAGAAAAAAAUGACGGUACCAUUCGAGGAAGGACCGGCUAACUUCGUGCCAGCAGCCGCGGUAAUACGAGGGGUCCUAGCGUUGUUCGGAAUCAUUGGGCGUAAAGGGUGUGUAGGUGGCCAUGUAAGUCAGGUGUGAAAGCACCGGGCUCAACCCGGGAAGUGCACUUGAUACUGCGUGGCUUGAGUACCGAAGAGGGUAGUGGAAUUCCAGGUGUAGUGGUGAAAUACGUAGAUAUCUGGAGGAACACCGGUGGCGAAGGCGGCUACCUGGUCGAGUACUGACACUGAGACACGAAAGCAUGGGGAUCAAACAGGAUUAGAAACCCGAGUAGUCC